UUCAGAGAUCACAGUUCCUGACGUGUUUAAUACAUAGAAGUUCCUAUUUAAAGAAUGAUAGUAUAUGAUGAAUCGACACUGAAACAAACUUUCGAUACAACCGAAAAUACUAGAAUCUUUGACAUUACGGAUAGCGGGAGGGUGAUAGAUACACCGAACAAUGCCUUUAUGUUAGGACUAUCUGUCCUAGGAUUUAUUUUGGUCAUGUCUAUUAUGAUAGCCUUACUAAAUGUUUUCGACAGAGUGCGAUGCAGAUAAAUAUUGAAGUGGUCGAUAUUACCUGAUUCAAAACACAUUCCGUGUUCGGCAUAAGCGUUGCAACUACAAAAAGAAUCACAGGUUCUCAAAAUGGACAAUACGAUCAUUGAUCAUUUUGAUCCUUAGGAAAAAGAAUGUAUAGUCAUGAUGAUCACCAACUAACAGAAAAAGAAUUGUCUGCGUUGCAAAAUUCAUCGAGUAUAUAUUGUAUUUUUUUUUAAUUCGUCUCAGAAAACAUGGUUCUCAUAAAUACAUACUAGUAACACUACCACUAUCACUGAUUCACAGAAAUCUAUUGUCGACAGGUUGUUCAAGUAUGGUGCAUGUGCUUUAUAACAGAGAAUACUUGUUAGUUUCAGGAUCAUGUAAAUAAAUUAUAAGAUACUGAUAAUUUUUUUAAAAAUCUACAUAUAAAGAUAUGAUACAUACACUUGAAAUAGAUAUUUAUGAAUA
Molecule: long non-coding RNA, 711 nt
Organism: Mytilus californianus (California mussel)
Lineage: Eukaryota; Metazoa; Mollusca; Bivalvia; Mytilida; Mytilidae
Exons: 2
Source: RefSeq, a predicted model, not a curated record